Non-coding RNA from Camellia sinensis, 679 nucleotides. The record is from RefSeq and is a predicted model, not a curated record. NCBI's taxonomy places the organism in Eukaryota, Viridiplantae, Streptophyta, Magnoliopsida, Ericales, Theaceae.
UUUUCAGAAUUCAUGUUUCAUGAAUUUUCGGAUAUCUGAUCAAAUGUUGCUCAGCCUGUGGUUUCUGUUAUAUUAAUGAUCAUUUUUUUAGUUUUUGAUAGGGCAUUGUCUCUGAUCUGAAUUCUAGGUGGAGCCAAAACGCAGGAAGAGGUGACUGAUCACGAUGCUUGCUAUGGAGGGAGCAGUUCAUCUCAAAGAGCUUAAUCCACAUUUCCUGCCUCUUCCAAAAUAUGUUUCUCAAAUCUCACCUGGACCAAACUAUGACUAUUAUUCGUCAACUAUGCGCUUUACAAUAUCAUCACCUGUGGCAUGGCUCCUUGCUCUAGUUAUUUUACCCGCAAGGUCAAAUAUGAUGAUAUGUGUUGGAUUAAUCACCUACUUGGCUCUAGUAUCUGUCUUAAUCACCUAAAUUAAAUAUACAUAUGGCUUUCGGCUUUGCUUCAGUAAUUGAUUUAAGGGUUGGACUGCAGCUGGCUUCAUCACUAGUUUUUAUUUUAUUUUAUUUUAUUUUACUUUUUAUGUUUUUGGUGUUUUUGUUAGUUGGUUUCUUGCCAAAUUAACAAUUAGAUAUUAAUUUUGUUUAAUCUUCUGUUAUGUAUGGAAUUAUAUUUUUGAGAUUGGAUUAUACUUGAUUUGUAUAGAAUUUUUUUUGGAAAUAUUAAUUUGAUGUUAAAUAUGA